Molecule: ribosomal RNA, 506 nt
Filed under: uncultured bacterium
Lineage: Bacteria
Description: partial 16S ribosomal RNA
Rfam family: Bacterial small subunit ribosomal RNA
Source: RNAcentral
AUUGAACGCUGGCGGCAGGCCUAACACAUGCAAGUCGGACGGUAGCACAGAGGAGCUUGCUCCUUGGGUGACGAGUGGCGGACGGGUGAGUAAUGUCUGGGGAUCCGCCCGAUGGAGGGGGAUAACUACUGGAAACGGUAGCUAAUACCGCAUAACGUCGCAAGACCAAAGUGGGGGACCUUCGGGCCUCACACCAUCGGAUGUGCCCAGAUGGGAUUAGCUAGUAGGUGGGGUAAUGGCUCACCUAGGCGACGAUCCCUAGCUGGUCUGAGAGGAUGACCAGCCACACUGGAACUGAGACACGGUCCAGACUCCUACGGGAGGCAGCAGUGGGGAAUAUUGCACAAUGGGCGCAAGCCUGAUGCAGCCAUGCCGCGUGUAUGAAGAAGGCCUUCGGGUUGUAAAGUACUUUCAGCGGGGAGGAAGGCGGUGAAGUUAAUAACUUCACCGAUUGACGUUACCCGCAGAAGAAGCACCGGCUAACUCCGUGCCAGCCGCCGCGGUAA